Molecule: ribosomal RNA, 253 nt
Filed under: uncultured bacterium
Lineage: Bacteria
Description: partial 16S ribosomal RNA
Rfam family: Bacterial small subunit ribosomal RNA
Source: RNAcentral
UACGUAGGGUGCAAGCGUUGUCCGGAAUUAUUGGGCGUAAAGAGCUCGUAGGCGGUUUGUCGCGUCUGCUGUGAAAACCCGAGGCUCAACCUCGGGCCUGCAGUGGGUACGGGCAGACUAGAGGUAUGCAGGGGAGACGGAAUUCCUGGUGUAGCGGUGAAAUGCGCAGAUAUCAGGAGGAACACCGAUGGCGAAGGCGGUUCGUCUGGGCAUGAUCUGACGCUGAGGAGCGAAAGUGUGGGGAGCGAACAGG